CUAUGUCUACUCUUAUACAUUAAUAAACGAGAUAUAUGUAAGAUCCUAGAGCAACAUUAGUGGUAAAUCUCUCACACUCAAGUCUCUUAACGUUUUUUAUUAAUACUAGAUCCUUUCUCUGCGCUACGCGCGGUUAAUAUAUUUAAAUUUGUUACAUUUAUCAUUUUUAUUUGUAUGUGAAUUUUUGUAUAUUAAAUUUUAUAUAACUAAUUUUUAAUUUUUUUUUCUAUUUUUAGUUUGAAUUAAGUAUUUCUAUUAUAUGUAACACAAUUAACUAAUAAAAUAUGAAGAAUCAAAUCCGAGAUUUUAUAAGAGUUAUGUAAAAAAAAAUAUAAUUAUGUAUAGAACAUAAAUUAUCUUAGUUUAAAAGAUCAAAAUCACAUCUCGAAUAAAUUCACGAAAAGAAAAAGUACUACAAUAACCUACUUAAAAUAUAAAACCCCUUUUAAAAAAAAGCGUACUUAAUAAUAUUUUUUUACGUAUAAUAGUUGAAAACCGAUAACUGAAUAUCGAUCUAGAAUAUUAUUUUAAUAUAUCUAAUGGUAAAAUAUUAAUUGUAAUAAACAAAUUUUGAAUUUUGUAAUAUUACAUGAAUUAGAAGUAUUUAAAAUCGAAAAUCUAUUUUAUUCACAUAAUAUAUGUUUUAUUCAUUUAUUAUUUUGAUGUUACAAAAUAUUGCUUUAGUUUAAUUUGUAUAUUAUUUUUUUAAUAAUUUAGUUUAUUUUUAAGUAAUUUUAAAAUGAUCAAGAGUAUAAUAUAAUUAAAAUUAUUUAUUUAAAUAUAUCCAAAUAUGAUUUCUCAUUUUUAUGUGUGUUUGCGUUUAGCAUAUUUAAUUUUUAGUUUGUAUAUUUAAUAACACCUUGUUGCGUGCCGUUCUAUGGUUUUAAUAAAUGUGUUAUCAUUUCAUUUUUAUUACUACUACCAUGAUUUUUUAGUGAUCAGUGAUAAUAUAUUUUUAACGUUAUGUAUUAUAUUUUAUCGUAUAUUUUCUAACUUUUCAUGCUAGCACUUUUUUUAGAAUAAUUUUAAUUGGAUGAUGGGUUUAAAGAUGUAAAUAAAACUGUGUAUUUUGUAAAUUUAGACUUUUCAGUGUAACUAAGCACUAUCAAUUAUGGAAAUUAUAUUAUGAUUUCAUUUUAUUAAAUCUUUCUUUCUCUGUAUAUUUUUUGUUUUAUUUUGUAUUUUUACAAUUUUAUUGCGUUAUUAUUUAAUUUCAGAGAAUUGCUAUUUCCAAAUUUUGUUUCAUAUUCCUUAAAAGUCUUCGGUUGAUUUUGUUUGUUUUCUUUCUCCAAUUACAAUGUACAGUUCGACCGUUUUUUUUUUUUUUUUUGGAUCAAGCUACUAAUAUCAUCAGAUAGAAAAACUUAAACUCAAAGAAUGGAGUGAGUAUUUGUGCUAGAGAAAAUUGAUUUUUUUGACAACUUAUUCUUUUUUUUUACAACGAGAAAAUUGAUUUAGCCACUAAUAUAGUGAGAUAUUAUAAUAUUAGAAGGUAUGAAAACCCUUCUUUGUUGUCCUACGCUGAAUAUAAUUAGGUUGUUGUCAGUUGAUUCUAUAUUUGUGAUAACUGAAAAUAUAUAUUUAUGUCUUUCUUACAUCUUCCUUAAUUGGUUUACGGUUCGACCAUUUCUAAUAUACUGAGAGUAACAUAAUAUUAGAUGUUGAUUAUCUCCUUGCAAUUAAGAAUGCACAGAAUGAGAGAAAUUCAAGGUGAGACCACUUUACUAUUUUUUCUCAUAUCUAUAUAGAGUUAGUUUAUAAAUUACUCUAUCUGUUUCAAAAUGUAAUCAGUUUUAGUUAAAAUCUUUACUAUUGAAAAGUUAUUACUUUAGAAAACUGUCAUUUAAUAUAUAAAUUUAAUCAAUUAUACAAUAAUUUACAUAAUUUAAUUGGCCAUACAAUAUCCAAUAAAUAUAAAGUUAUAUUGAAAUAUAAAAAUACUUUAAAACAUUAUAUUAUAAAACAAAGGGAAUAUUCAAAUUAUAUUGAAACAUUAGAAUAGUAAGAAUCGGAAAAGCUGAAAUCUUAACGUCGAUCAUUUACGUCGGCCAUGCCUUAGACCAUCUCUAAUGUAUUCCUCUAUUUUUUUCACUAAAAUACAGGAAUUUCAUAACAGAGAUGGCUUUGCCUCCGAUGUAUUUUUCUAUCUUCUUUCCUAAAAAAAAUAUUCUUGAUAUAUUCUUUUCUAAGUUUACAAAUAAUAUUUUUUAUUUGUUAAAGUUGAAAACCAGCCUAAUUUAUUUUAGUAUUUUAUAAUAUUAUGAUAUUAUUUGCACUAAAUAUUUCUUUACAAACUAUUAUGUAAAUAAAAAAAUAUAAUUAUAUUUAUAAAAUUAUAGAUUUCACAAAAAAAAUAUUUUCGGUUAUAAUUGUUGAAGUAAAAAGUUAAAGGAUCAUUUUGUAAAAACUAAUCAAGGAGGUGACAUGGCAAAAAUAUAAUUUAUCAUUGGCCGAUUAUAUUGCCUACGUGGACACUUUAUAUGAGGCUUAU
Molecule: long non-coding RNA, 2491 nt
Filed under: Brassica rapa (field mustard)
Lineage: Eukaryota; Viridiplantae; Streptophyta; Magnoliopsida; Brassicales; Brassicaceae
Description: long non-coding RNA (BRAP_LNC004886)
Source: RNAcentral